UCCGCCCGCCCGCCCGCCCUCCGCCGCCCUCCACCCGCCCCGGGGUCUCUUUCCCCCUUCCUCCUCCUCCUCCUCCACCCCCCCCUUCCUCCUCCGCCCGCCCGCGGGGCCCCCCUCGCCUUCCCGCCCGCCCCUAUUGUUCCGCCCCCGGCCUCCCGCCCUUCCCCUUCCCGCCCGCUCCCCCUUUCCCCCUCAGUCGCCUCGCGCCUGCAGUUUUGGCUUCACCCCCACCAGUGACCAAAGACUUGACCACUCAGAGUCCAGCUCCCAAGAACACCGCUCGAAAUGGACACCGGUGUGAUUGAAGGUGGAUUAAAUGUCACUCUCACCAUCCGGCUACUUAUGCAUGGCAAGGAAGUUGGUAGUAUCAUCGGAAAGAAAGGAGAAUCUGUUAAGAAGAUGCGCGAGGAGAGUGGUGCACGUAUCAACAUCUCAGAAGGGAAUUGUCCUGAGAGAAUUAUCACUUUGGCUGGACCCACUAAUGCCAUUUUCAAAGCAUUUGCUAUGAUCAUUGACAAACUGGAAGAGGACAUCAGCAGCUCUAUGACCAAUAGCACAGCUGCCAGUAGACCUCCGGUUACCUUGAGGCUGGUGGUUCCUGCUAGUCAGUGUGGCUCUCUCAUUGGAAAAGGUGGUUGCAAGAUCAAGGAAAUAAGAGAGAGUACAGGGGCUCAGGUGCAGGUGGCAGGGGAUAUGCUCCCCAACUCAACUGAGCGGGCCAUCACUAUUGCUGGCAUCCCGCAAUCCAUCAUUGAGUGUGUCAAACAGAUCUGCGUGGUCAUGUUGGAGACUCUCUCCCAGUCCCCUCCGAAGGGCGUGACCAUCCCGUACCGGCCCAAGCCGUCCAGUUCUCCGGUCAUCUUUGCAGGUGGUCAGGACAGGUACAGCACAGGCAGCGACAGUGCGAGCUUUCCCCACACCACCCCGUCCAUGUGCCUCAACCCUGACCUGGAGGGACCACCUCUAGAGGCCUAUACCAUUCAAGGACAGUAUGCCAUUCCACAGCCAGAUUUGACCAAGCUGCACCAGUUGGCAAUGCAACAGUCUCAUUUUCCCAUGACCCAUGGCAACACCGGAUUCAGUGGCAUUGAAUCCAGCUCUCCAGAGGUGAAAGGCUAUUGGGGUCUGGAUGCAUCUGCUCAGACUACUUCUCAUGAACUCACCAUUCCAAAUGAUUUGAUUGGCUGCAUAAUCGGGCGUCAAGGCGCCAAAAUCAAUGAGAUCCGUCAGAUGUCUGGGGCGCAGAUCAAAAUUGCGAACCCAGUAGAAGGAUCUACUGAUAGGCAGGUUACCAUCACCGGAUCUGCUGCCAGCAUCAGCCUGGCUCAAUACCUAAUCAAUGUCAGGCCUCUUAACCUAAUGAAUAUUCCCUAAAGAAGGAUUGCUGGGAAGGAAUCCAGAUGUUUAAGGGGCUGCUACAUCACCACCUCCAAAGGCUUUCCUCGGAGACGGGUGGCAUGGGGAGCAGCUAGAACAAUGCAGAUUCACCCAUAAUCCCUUUCUGCUGUUCACCACCACCCAUGAUCCAUCUGUGUAGUUUCUGAACAGUCAGCGAUUCCAGGUUUUAAAUAGUUUGUAAAUUUUCAGUUUCUACACACUUUAUCAUCCACUCGUGAUUUUUUAAUUAAAAGCGUUUUAAUUCCUUUCUCUGUUCAGCUGUUAAUGCUGAGAUCCAUAUUUAGUUUUAUAAGCUUCUCCCCGUGUUUUUUUUUUUUUUUCUUCUUUUGGGUUUUUUUUUUUUUUUGGCUCAUGAAUUUUUCUGUUUGUCAUGGAAAUGUAAGAGUGGAAUAUUAAUACAUUUCAGUUUAGUUCUGUAAUGUCAGGAAUUUUUCAAAAAAAUUAAAAGAUGGACUGGAGCUUUUUCUUUGUGAAUAGAAACUGGAUGCCACAGUGAUUCAUGUGGGUUUUAUUCCUGUUGUCCUGCCGUUAUUUUUGUACCUUUAUCCCUCACAGGACCCUGCUUGGGUUUUGAAUAGAAGGCUCGACAUCCAGUUAUUUUCUUCUGUUUGACCACUCAUCUUUUUUAUUGGCCAUUGGUCUUAUUUCCUGUGACCCUGUACUUGGUUGACCAUUGUUAAAACCUGUGCCCAAAAGAAAAACUUUCCUUGGCUUUAGAACAGGCAAGCGCUUCCACCAGGUUGGGGGGGGGGACGCUCGUCACACACAAGUUGGGAGUACAUGGGUCUGACUGGAAUUCACCUUCUUUGGAAUGUCUGUGCCUUUGUUUAAGCUUGCAUAUUUUAAGUCUCUUUGUUUUUAAUUAUUUCAUUUAUAGUCCUUCUCGAUAACAAGAGAACAUAUUUAA
Molecule: non-coding RNA, 2305 nt
Organism: Oryctolagus cuniculus (rabbit)
Lineage: Eukaryota; Metazoa; Chordata; Mammalia; Lagomorpha; Leporidae
Source: RefSeq, a predicted model, not a curated record